AUAAUUAAUUCUUUUUAAAAUUAGAAGCAUCAAUAAUAAUACCUUUAAUUUUUGUAUUGCUUCAAUAUGCUUUUUUUUCAUUUAAAUUGACAAAUCUUAUAUAAUACUUUAUAUAAUAGAUUUGUUAUAUGAGUAUAAUAAAGAAUCUAUAUACAAUAAAAUAUACAAGCUCCUAAAAUCCUAUAUACUUUUGUUAAAAAGCCACAUGUAUCUUUCAUCUUUCUAAUUACAUCAAUUUUGCUUGGAUUCAAUUUUUUUCAAUAAAAUCCAUUCAAAUGUCUAAAAAAGACAACUUUUUAUAUUCCAAAUGCAGAUUUUGCUCCCAAAACUAUAAGAUGAACUCAGUUAAGUUAAAAUCUUUUCACAAUCUUGUAUAUAAUCCACAACAUAUUUACAAU
This 398-nucleotide long non-coding RNA is filed under the name Physcomitrium patens. RNAcentral describes it as "long non-coding RNA (PPAT_LNC003017)". The record is from RNAcentral. Lineage: Eukaryota; Viridiplantae; Streptophyta; Bryopsida; Funariales; Funariaceae.